Non-coding RNA from Myodes glareolus (Bank vole), 677 nucleotides. Lineage: Eukaryota; Metazoa; Chordata; Mammalia; Rodentia; Cricetidae. The record is from RefSeq and is a predicted model, not a curated record.
CAGGAUCUGCAGAUGCUAAGAACUUUAUACACGGACCCGGAGCCAGUCUCCUGCGGACCCUGAGACAACUGACUGACAAAGAGGCAGCAAAGGUUCACGAAAUCCUGAGAUAUUUUGAAGUUUCACACAAAGCUCCUGGAUGGAAUGGAUGUUUCAUGAUUUCCAUUAGCAGCCAUCUUGCCUCAUGAGGCCUCCUUGAGCAAGGAAACAAUGAAGGUUAGAACAAGAAGGAGCCAGGGGUUCUGACACGCCAGAGCCUCACAGUGGUGGCUCCCAACAGGCUGAGUUCACAUUGUCAUGGUAACAAAACCAGUGUUACAUUGGAAUGCAGUGUUUCUUUUUAGAGCUGAACAUUUGGGAGACGAGUCUGAAAGUGAUUGAUUUUCCUCAAAUUCCCCAAGUUGUGGGCCAUGUGACCCUAAAGAGAUCCUGCUCUGAUCCUUAGUUGGCAGUGACUGGUCUUUGGAUUUUCCUCUUCAGUGCACCCGGUGCAAGCCAUGCUUGGUCCAGCGUGGCUUCAGGGAUGAACCUGGCUGGGACAGUGACGGAAUAAGGAUGGAAAACGCCUCUUACCCUACAUUCCUGGUUCUGCCUCCAGCCUCUCCAUCCUUGACACAGAGGAUGUAGAGUGCAAAUCAGAGACCACGCUGUGCAGUGACGCCUUGCUGUUGUGGAGA